RNAcentral lists this long non-coding RNA (1654 nucleotides) under Triticum aestivum (bread wheat). RNAcentral's name for it is "long non-coding RNA (TAES_LNC010007)". The record is from RNAcentral. Lineage: Eukaryota; Viridiplantae; Streptophyta; Magnoliopsida; Poales; Poaceae.
UGUGAAGUGGCAGCUGGUGAACCAGAUCGACAAUGGAUCAAUUAGUAGUGUCGCCAUCCUUGGUUCUGAAGCAAUUCGUGAGGCGUCUCCUGCCAUAACAAUCUGGUUCUUACCUGAGUAUUGUCUACUAAGACGCCAUGUUGCUAGGUAAGUAUAAACAGUGGAUUAUCUCCAUUCAUGUGUUGCAGCUUCUACCAUCCUCCUUUUUUAGCAUGUCAGACACUCAGUAUACUUAUUCAUAUAGAUAGAUUUUUUAAGUAUAAGAAGCUCAUGUUUAGAUACUUAAUGCUGAAAUGUGAACCAACAAUGCAACAUGAACACAAUUAUUAGUGCAUGAUACUUUGAUCAAUAAUUUCUCUGUCAUCGGCCGUGCACUAAUUUAGACAUAUUCUGUUUUUCUGAAAGCAAUUCAUCCCAAAUUUUCGUCUAGCCGCAUUGCAUUUUUAUCCUGAAUCUCCGUCAUCAUUCAUUUUUGCAAAGAUUUAUUGCAUUUAUGAGACACAUUUACUCCAUUUUAAUUCAAUUUACCAUAUAUUAAUCCACUUCAAUUAGCAACAAGAUCCCAAGCUGAAACUAUUGCGGUCUGGGCUGGUAUGCGACUCCCAUUUUCCCAUUAUUGAUUUUUUUCACAAUGGAUACAUUCGAGCAUUGCAUUUUAAAGUCAAGUUUUAGCAAUUAUUUUUUAGCAGAAAUGCAGUGAUCUAUAUGCAAACAAUCUCUCUGUUUUAGUAAUGUUAUGGGACAUCAGAGAGCAGAUGGCAUGUCACAUCCCCAAUAAAUGUGUCAAUCAUACUAAAUCAUGGAUGAUUUUUAAUUUUGGAUAUUGAAAGAAUGCUAUUUUCUCGAGUAUAAUAUGACAAUACUCCCUCUGUAAAGAAAUAUAAGAGCGUUUUGAUCAUUAGUAGUGAUCUAAACACUCUUAUAUUUCCUUACAGAGGGAGUACUAAUUAACUCUUUCUGUUUGUAAGCUAUCUUGAUAUUUCUUAGCUGUUUUGAUGUUUCGCUUGGCAGAAAGUAUCACUGUAGUACUGCUUGAGAAGACAUAAGUGUGGGUGAUUGUGGUUUUAAAUCAGAGAAUUAUGGUUUCAAAGUUAUUCGUUAAAGGUACUCCCUCUGUCCCAUAAUAUAAGAACGUUUUUCAAGCUAUGUUAGCUUGAAAAAUUAUCUAAUAUUGUUGGAUGGAGGGGGUAAUUCAUAUUUAUCUUAAGGUUACUAACAUACUUUCUAUGAAAUUUAUUUUCUUCUUCAUUAUCAUAUAGGCCAAGAUGUUCUCAAUAUGCUGCAUCUGGAACGUCUCUGAAGAGAUUAACCAUCUGAAGACUCGGUCACCUGGUUUUAUUUUAAAUGAAGUUGUGUGUGUGAGGGAGUGAGCAAUAAAUUUGUGCAUGAACUAACGACGUUGGUGAGAGUUUAGGUGUUCGUAGAAUUGGUUAGGUGAAUACCCCGAUCUUGUAGUUAGAUGGUUGUAACUAACAUCUUACACUCUUUUAAUGGUGAUCAAUAGAUUGGUGUGUCCAUCGGAAGAUAAAACGUGUCAAGAAUUGUAUGUUGUCGAUAAUAGACCAUCUAGAAUUGAACCCCUGUUACUUUGUCCCCAUUUAUUCGGAUGGACAAUCCAGACACGAGAGAAAGAAAAAAGGCCACCCAAUUGGAC